This 929-nucleotide long non-coding RNA is filed under the name Homo sapiens (human). RNAcentral's name for it is "non-protein coding lnc-LRRC3-8:1". The record is from RNAcentral. Lineage: Eukaryota; Metazoa; Chordata; Mammalia; Primates; Hominidae.
UGCCCAACAACCAAUAGGUGACAUCUGGGAAGACUGUGACCCCAUAGUGCUCAGCCUAUGAGGAACUGGGGGAGGGACCUGCACACUAAGGGAUAAAGUGCUUGUUAAAACCAUGCUGGAGGCUGGUGCAGUGGCUCACGCCUGUAAUCCCAGCACUUUAGGAGGCCGACGUGAGGCAGGCGGAUCACUUGGGGUCAGGAGUUUGACACCAGCCUGGCCAACCUGGUAAAACCCCAUCUCUAUUGAAAACACGAAAAUUAGCCAGGCGUGGUGGUGAGUGCCUGUGAUCCCAGCUACUCAGGAGGCUGAGGCAGGAGGAUCACUUGGACUCGGGAGGCAGAGUUACAGUGAGCCGAGAUCCUGCCACCGCACUCCAGCCUGGGCGACAGAGAAAGACCCCAUCUCAAAACAACAGCAACAACAACAAAACCGGGCUGGGCGUGCCUUCCCAUCGGACACCCGACCUCGCAAGACUGUCAUUAAAAGUCUCACUCUCGCUGUUCUCUGGGUUGUGAGUCCAUUCUCUGGGUGUGGACAGGCAUUCAGCUCAGUCUACGGCCCGCAGACAGAUUUCCUAGAAAUAACUGCUCCUACUUCUCAACUCUUAACAAAAAGGUCUCUGAAAAGGAAUUUGGAGGAAACAGACUAUUCCAGUGAAUAGUGUACAAGCCUGGGAGAUGCGGACUUUGGUGUAAAAUGAAGGUGUGUUCAAAGAGCAAAGAAGGAGUUCGGGUUUUAGAGCAAAAAGCUCCUGCCCUGGGGUCCCCAUUAGGUCCAUGUAGGCAAAUGAAGGAUUGAAACGUGCUUAGUUCUGAUUGGUUGGUACAGCUGGGCCCUGAUGGGUUGGUUUCCAAGCCGCGAACCGGAAGUCUUUGUUAGCUGUUUCUUUCAAACAGUGGUGGGGGGCGUGAGGGGCGUGCGGGGCGUCG